GCGGAAGUGGGUGUUCCCGGGUCUCUGCUGCCCAGCUGUGCCCGCUGCCGUCUUGGGGUCCCGGGGUGCGCGGGUUGGGCUGGGUGAGCUCAGAGGCACCUUGUCGGCAGCCGAGCCUGAAGAGGCGACCUCGAAACGCCUCGUGAGACCUUUCGCGGGCACACGCCCUUCGCGUUCCUCCGCUUCCUCCCACGUUUCUUCAGCCCCUGGCGGGGCGCUGGGGUGCCCGGUAGUUAAGGGUGGGGUGGCAGCGAGCGUUUCUGUGCACCCGCAGCGUGCCACGCCCGUGCUAAGCACUUUGCCUAUAGAGCCAGUGGCUUAAUUCUGCAAUAGCACAGUGAAGAACUUCGCCUCAUUUUACAGACGUGGAAACAGGCUCAUCAAGUGCUCUGUAAUUGUAAAACCUGGGAUAACAAAGGAGCAAAACGCAAUUUAGAGAAUCUAUUUGCUGAUCUCCAGUCUAGAGUGUUACUGAUGGGUUUCUGACACAGAAAUAUCUGGCUGAGAUGGUCCAACAUACCGGGAAACUCAUUCUCUCCUAUGAGAAAGUCAUAUUCUCUGAUAGCAUCUUUGGUCACCUGAAACCUAGUGUCCAUUGAAGGCACAGCUCUGGGAACUGCAAAACUGUUCUGUGGAGUGUUAUGGAGAGUAAAGCCAGGCAGACCAGCUGCUUCUGAGGGCUGUGGAUAAAAUAGAGAAUGAUACACUUACAUCCUCUACCUUUUGUUUCCAGGCACAGAUCAUUUCAGGUGCCUUCUGUGCAGAAAUAGCUGAAUAAACUUGGAGCUUGGUCUCUUUGUUGUUGAAUUUACAAUGUUAUUUGAAUGUAAGACCUUGUAGAUAUGACAUUUGAAAGUUAGGGCUCUGGAAUGGCACUGCCUGGCUUCAGAUCCUUCAUUUUUUUGCUAAAUGACAACAAACAAGAGGCUUAGGCUCUGUGCCUCCGUUUCAUCAUAGUCAAUUCUGGUAUUUGCAGUAGUUAUGUUGAAUAAAGUCACCCAGUACACGGACUUAGCAAAUACUGCUCCUUGGAAACCACAGCUCCUAGGGAAGAUACAGGGUUAGGUUCCUGUGAACCUCUGAUCACAACAUUUUUAUCAACAGAUCAAUAUAC
This 1114-nucleotide long non-coding RNA is filed under the name Homo sapiens (human). RNAcentral's name for it is "HSALNT0363511". Lineage: Eukaryota; Metazoa; Chordata; Mammalia; Primates; Hominidae. The record is from RNAcentral.